This is a small nuclear RNA of Jaculus jaculus (lesser Egyptian jerboa), 107 nucleotides long. Lineage: Eukaryota; Metazoa; Chordata; Mammalia; Rodentia; Dipodidae. The record is from RefSeq and is a predicted model, not a curated record.
GUGCUUGCUUUGGCAGCACAUAUACUAAAAUUGGAACGAUACAGAGAAGAUUGGCACAGCCAUUGCACAAGGAUGACAUGCAAAUUCGAGAAGCAUUCCAUAUUUAA